Molecule: ribosomal RNA, 468 nt
Filed under: uncultured bacterium
Lineage: Bacteria
Description: partial 16S ribosomal RNA
Rfam family: Bacterial small subunit ribosomal RNA
Source: RNAcentral
GACGAACGCUGGCGGCGUGCUUAACACAUGCAAGUCGAACGGAAAGGCCCUGCUUUUGUGGGGUGCUCGAGUGGCGAACGGGUGAGUAACACGUGAGUAACCUGCCCUUGACUUUGGGAUAACUUCAGGAAACUGGGGCUAAUACCGGAUAGGAGCUCCUGCUGCAUGGUGGGGGUUGGAAAGUUUCGGCGGUUGGGGAUGGACUCGCGGCUUAUCAGCUUGUUGGUGGGGUAGUGGCUUACCAAGGCUUUGACGGGUAGCCGGCCUGAGAGGGUGACCGGCCACAUUGGGACUGAGAUACGGCCCAGACUCCUACGGGAGGCAGCAGUGGGGAAUAUUGCACAAUGGGCGCAAGCCUGAUGCAGCAACGCCGCGUGCGGGAUGACGGCCUUCGGGUUGUAAACCGCUUUCGCCUGUGACGAAGCGUGAGUGACGGUAAUGGGUAAAGAAGCACCGGCUAACCACGUG